UACGAAGGGGGCUAGCGUUGUUCGGAAUCACUGGGCGUAAAGGGCGCGUAGGCGGCUUUGUAAGUCGGUGGUGAAAGCCUGUGGCUCAACCACAGAAUUGCCUUCGAUACUGCAUGGCUUGAGACCGGAAGAGGUUAGUGGAACUGCGAGUGUAGAGGUGAAAUUCGUAGAUAUUCGCAAGAACACCAGUGGCGAAGGCGGCUCACUGGCCCGGUACUGACGCUGAGGUGCGAAAGCGUGGGGAGCAAACAGG
RNAcentral lists this ribosomal RNA (253 nucleotides) under uncultured bacterium. RNAcentral's name for it is "partial 16S ribosomal RNA". It matches the Rfam family "Bacterial small subunit ribosomal RNA", at positions 524 to 776 of the family's 1533-position model. The record is from RNAcentral.